RNAcentral lists this ribosomal RNA (200 nucleotides) under uncultured Lactobacillus sp. RNAcentral's name for it is "partial 16S ribosomal RNA". It matches the Rfam family "Bacterial small subunit ribosomal RNA", at positions 161 to 354 of the family's 1533-position model. The record is from RNAcentral. Lineage: Bacteria; Bacillati; Bacillota; Bacilli; Lactobacillales; Lactobacillaceae.
UGCUAAUACCGGAUAACAACAGAUGAUGCCUAUCAACUGUUUAAAAGAAUGGUUCUGCUAUCACUCUUGGAUGGACCUGCGGUGCAUUAGCUAGUUGGUAGGGUAACGGCCUACCAAGGCGAUGAUGCAUAGCCGAGUUGAGAGACUGAUCGGCCACAUUGGGACUGAGACACGGCCCAAACUCCUACGGGAGGCAGCAG